AGUAGGUGUAAAAGGGAUGGUGCAGUAUUCUAGUCGGUCCUCCACUUCUGAAGGCGGGCCUAAAAAUCCGCCAAAGGGCACAUCGAUGAAGUUCCUGGUGUUGGCUUGAGGCGCCCAGCCUUGGGUCAAUGCUGGGAGUUAAGGUUGUAGGGCGAUCCACAAAGGCAUGUGGGCGUUGACCCUGCUUCCGCGGAGGCCCAUUAUUGUGCCCCAUUAAUCGCGCUUAAUGGGGUACGAAAUGGGGUAUGAACCUGCACUAUAAGGUUAGGACCCUUAUUUGCAGCGUAGCCUGCCUUGAGUGGUGUUUAGGGGAUUACAAUUAAAAGUAAUGAAUCGGAUGGCCACUGAGGAGUUACUGUUGACAUUGUAUGAAAUAAACACUGCAAAAGAGGCUAGGAAGUGGUUAAAGACUGUCGAGGAAAACUCCUAGACUGUUCGUUGGACACUUAAAAGGGAUUGUAGUGCGGACUAAGUGGUAGUCCAGUCUAGCUGUGGUAACUCAGCUAAGUACGGUUUAAUGGGGAACCACCGAUGUGGCAACACACGGCACUGUACUGGGAAAACCUACUGGACCUAAGCCGCAAUAUUUACCUUUUAAGUGACCAUCCCUACCUACAUAAUA
Molecule: small RNA, 622 nt
Filed under: Piscibacillus halophilus
Lineage: Bacteria; Bacillati; Bacillota; Bacilli; Caryophanales; Bacillaceae
Source: RNAcentral